Molecule: ribosomal RNA, 264 nt
Filed under: Hemiselmis virescens
Lineage: Eukaryota; Cryptophyceae; Cryptomonadales; Hemiselmidaceae
Description: partial Bacterial small subunit ribosomal RNA
Rfam family: Bacterial small subunit ribosomal RNA
Source: RNAcentral
UAAGUCCCGCAACGAGCGCAACCCCUAUUCUUAGUUGCCAGCAUGUAAUGAUGGGGACUCUAAGGAGACUGCCUGCGCAAGCAGAGAGGAAGGGGGGGAUGACGUCAAGUCAUCAUGGCCCUUACGCCCAGGGCUACACACGUGCUACAAUGGCGCAUACAGAGGGUAGCGACACUGCGAAGUGAAGCCAAUCUCAAAAAGUGCGUCUCAGUUCGGAUUGUAGUCUGCAACUCGACUACAUGAAGCUGGAAUCGCUAGUAAUCG